This 1405-nucleotide long non-coding RNA is filed under the name Vulpes vulpes (red fox). Its description in RNAcentral is "lncRNA (ENSVVUG00000002230.1)". Lineage: Eukaryota; Metazoa; Chordata; Mammalia; Carnivora; Canidae. The record is from RNAcentral.
CUUGCAUGCAUGUCUCUGUUCUGCAAUUGAUGAUUUUGCCCGGUGUCCUGGGCCUGAAACACAGUUUCAUCAUUCCUGAUCCACACCUGCCCCUGGCCCCUGGCCCCAUACUGCUGUCUCGAGACAUGACCGGUAGUCCCAAACAUCCUAAGACGUUUCUCUUCCAGAGGCACCAAUGGUCUCAUCAGCAGGGAGCACGUUAACCCACCAAUGGAGAGCACUGGCACUGGCUUCAGCAGAAUCAUAAGGGUUCAGCCCGGCUCCCCAUGCAUUCACGCAACUCAUGUGGCUGAGCCUCUAAGGCGAGAUUCCCCACCACACAAGACCGUCAUCACCAUUCAGCCAAACUGAGUACCGGACUCUUAGGCCCUGGCCCAUCACUGCCUUGCCCUGAACUCCCUCAUCUCCCCAGGAAAGACUUACAACCCAGUCAGGCCGUGGACUCUUUCCUCAUUUGCUCUUUCUGCAUAGAACAGUCGACACUCUGGGGCAUUGCGCAGCACCGCCAAUGCGGUUGGGCAGCGGGCUCAAGCCCUCUCUGCUGGCUUCCAGGCCCACGUGUCCCUGGAGUAUUGAUGUCCAGACACAGAAGUAAACCUCAGGUGUCCAGCAGGCUGCCAUGUUCCGGGAAACGAAGGUCGCACAACCAAGCAGGGCCCUGAAGACUGACACACAAACACACACACACACAUUCACACACACACACACACACACGCACGCACACACACACACACAUACACCGGAUCUUGUAUUCUAACUUUUAAUGAAACUUCCAUGGCUCAUGGAGCCAGUCAUCUGACUGAUGUGUCAGAACCACACCGUUGUCCUCAGCGGUCUCCUAUGCAGGAGAACCGUGUUGACCACUGGCAUCCAUCUGUAUGUCUGUGACGGCUGUGGACAAGUGUGCUGUCUCUUCAUAUUCAUCUCAGCAUCUUGAAGCUCCCUGGCAAGGAAGAAAACACCCACGGCCUCAGAUCAUCAUGGAUGACAUGUGGCCCAAUGUCCUCAAGUACUACGAGAGGAAGAAGGCGCCAGGAGAGGUUGAUAUUCUGGACUCAGCCCACUCAUCCAUCCACUCUGCACUGAGCAAAAUGACUAAAAGGAAGAACUCACUACAAAAGAAAGAAUCAGAAACAGAACUCUCUACCACAGAGUUACAGAAUAUGGAUUACAAUUCGAUGUCAGAAAGCCAAUGCAGAAGAACAAUUAUAAAGCAACUGGUGUAUCUGGAAAACAACAUAAUAGAUUCAAGAGACUUUAUGACUGCAGAAUUUAGAUCUAUUCAGGCCAUAAUAAAAACUCAAUUAAAUGAGAUGCAAUCCAUACUGGAGGUCCUAUCAAUGAGGGUUAAUAAGGUGAAAGAAAGAGUGCACGAACCUGAAGACUCCUAACUCUAGGAAGCGAA